Molecule: ribosomal RNA, 301 nt
Filed under: uncultured bacterium
Lineage: Bacteria
Description: partial 16S ribosomal RNA
Rfam family: Bacterial small subunit ribosomal RNA
Source: RNAcentral
CAGUCGCCGCGGGAAUACGUAGGUCCCGAGCGUUGUCCGGAUUUAUUGGGCGUAAAGCGAGCACAGGCGGUUAGAUAAGUCUGAAGUUAAAGGCUGUGGCUUAACCAUAGUACGCUUUGGAAACUGUUUAACUUGAGUGCAAGAGGGGAGAGUGGAAUUCCAUGUGUAGCGGUGAAAUGCGUAGAUAUAUGGAGGAACACCGGUGGCGAAAGCGGCUCUCUGGCUUGUAACUGACGCUGAGGCUCGAAAGCGUGGGGAGCAAACAGGAUUAGAUACCCCUGUAGUCCCUGUCUCUUAUACA